GAUGAACGCUAGCUACAGGCUUAACACAUGCAAGUCGAGGGGUAACGAGAGGGAAGCUUGCUUUCCUUGUCGACGACCGGCGCACGGGUGAGUAACGCGUAUCCAACCUGCCCCCAACUAGGGAAUAACCUUGCGAAAGUAAGACUAAUACCCUAUAAUCUCCUCAGAUGUCAUCUGACGAGGAAUAAAGAUUUAUCGGUUGUGGAUGGGGAUGCGUCUGAUUAGCUUGUUGGCGGGGUAACGGCCCACCAAGGCAACGAUCAGUAGGGGUUCUGAGAGGAAGGUCCCCAACAUGGGAACUGGGACACGGUCCAAACUCCUACGGGAGGCAGCAGUGAGGAAUAUUGGUCAAUGGGCGGAAGCCUGAACCAGCCAAGUAGCGUGCAGGGUGACGGCCCUAUGGGUUGUAAACUGCUUUUAUACAGGAAUAAAGUUAGCCACGUGUGGUUAUUUGUAGGUACUGUAUGAAUAAGGACCGGCUAAUUCCGUGCCAGCCGCCGCCGUAA
This 506-nucleotide ribosomal RNA is filed under the name uncultured bacterium. Its description in RNAcentral is "partial 16S ribosomal RNA". It matches the Rfam family "Bacterial small subunit ribosomal RNA", at positions 28 to 523 of the family's 1533-position model. The record is from RNAcentral.